UGUAAGUUCCCACUGUAGCAAUAGCAACAUGGUCAUGUUUCGGAACUGCCACAGGAAAGGAAAUCCACAUCAAGGGACACUGCUCUACUACAUUAUUUACCUUCUGAAUCCCUUAUUUAUUAUUGGGGAACUAUUUAUGUAAGGGAAUUAAAGUGAUAACAAAGCCAAACCUACAGAGAAAAUACUUGACUAUCAGUCGCAAAGGUCCAACCGUGCAAUCAUCCCAUUGUUG
RNAcentral lists this unclassified non-coding RNA (232 nucleotides) under Hevea brasiliensis (rubber tree). The record is from RNAcentral. Lineage: Eukaryota; Viridiplantae; Streptophyta; Magnoliopsida; Malpighiales; Euphorbiaceae.